UUUGAUCAUGGGCUCAGAACGAACGCUGGCGGCGCGUUUUAAGCAUGCAAGUCGAGCGGUAAGCAGUCUUCGGACUGCCUAGAGCGGCGAACGGGUGAGUAACACGUAGAUGAUCUACCUUGAGGUUGGGGAUAGCCUGUGGAAACACAGGGUAAUACCGAAUAAGCCCUAUGGGGGAAAGGUGCCAAGGCACCGCCUUAGGAUGAGUCUGCGGCUCAUUAGUUAGUUGGUGGGGUAAAGGCCUACCAAGGCGACGAUGAGUAGCCGGCCUGAGAGGGUGGACGGCCACACUGGGACUGAGACACGGCCCAGACUCCUACGGGAGGCAGCAGCUAAGAAUCUUCCGCAAUGGGCGCAAGCCUGACGGANCGACGCCGCGUGAACGAAGAAGGCCGUGAGGUUGUAAAGUUCUUUUCUUACUGAAGAAUAAUUACUGCAGGGAAUGGCAGUGAGAUGACGUUAGGUAAGGAAUAAGCCCCGGCUAAUUACGUGCCAGCAGCCGCGGUAA
RNAcentral lists this ribosomal RNA (508 nucleotides) under methanogenic bacterium enrichment culture clone MTtB-otu13-1. RNAcentral's name for it is "bacterial SSU rRNA". It matches the Rfam family "Bacterial small subunit ribosomal RNA", at positions 12 to 523 of the family's 1533-position model. The record is from RNAcentral.